GCCGUAGCUCAGUGGUGGAGCAUCUGCUUUGCAUUCAGAAGGUCCCAGGUUCAAAUCCUGACAUCUCCA
RNAcentral lists this transfer RNA (69 nucleotides) under Podarcis lilfordi (Lilford's wall lizard). RNAcentral describes it as "tRNA.Ala". It matches the Rfam family "tRNA". From Rfam's summary of the family: Transfer RNA (tRNA) molecules are approximately 80 nucleotides in length. Lineage: Eukaryota; Metazoa; Chordata; Lepidosauria; Squamata; Lacertidae. The record is from RNAcentral.